Molecule: non-coding RNA, 29 nt
Filed under: Rattus norvegicus (Norway rat)
Lineage: Eukaryota; Metazoa; Chordata; Mammalia; Rodentia; Muridae
Source: RNAcentral
UAAUCUGGUGUGGCCUCAAGAAACAAAGG